RNAcentral lists this ribosomal RNA (402 nucleotides) under uncultured bacterium. RNAcentral describes it as "bacterial SSU rRNA". It matches the Rfam family "Bacterial small subunit ribosomal RNA", at positions 355 to 774 of the family's 1533-position model. The record is from RNAcentral.
UCGGGAAUUUUGGGCAAUGGGCGAAAGCCUGACCCAGCAACGCCGCGUGAGGGAUGAAGUAUUUCGGUAUGUAAACCUCGAAAGAAUGGGAAGAAUAAAUGACGGUACCAUUUAUAAGCUCCGGCUAACUACGUACCAGCAGCCGCGGUAAUACGUAGGGAGCAAGCGUUGUUCGGAUUUACUGGGCGUAAAGGGCGCGUAGGCGGCGCGGUAAGUCACUUGUGAAAUCUCUGAGCUUAACUCAGAACGGCCAAGUGAUACUGCUGUGCUAGAGUGCGGAAGAGGCAACCGGAAUUCUUGGUGUAGCGGUGAAAUGCGUAGAUAUCAAGAGGAACACCUGAGGCGAAGGCGGGUUGCUGGGCCGACACUGACGCUGAUGCGCGAAAGCCAGGGGAGCAAACG